UAGCGUAGGUGGCAAGCGUUAUCCGGAAUUAUUGGGCGUAAAGCGCGCGUAGGCGGUUUUUAAGUCUGAUGUGAAAGCCCACAGGCCUCAACCGUGGAGGGUCAUUGGAAACUUGGAAACUUGAGUGCAGAAGAGGAAAGUGGAAUUCCAUGUGUAGCGGGUGAAAUGCGCAGAGAUAAUGGAGGAACACCAGUGGCGAAGGCGACUUCUGGUCUGUAACUGACGCUGAUGUGCGAAAGCGUGGGGAUCAAACAGG
Molecule: ribosomal RNA, 256 nt
Filed under: uncultured bacterium
Lineage: Bacteria
Description: partial 16S ribosomal RNA
Rfam family: Bacterial small subunit ribosomal RNA
Source: RNAcentral